GGAAUAUUGGUCAAUGGGCGCGAGCCUGAACCAGCCAAGUAGCGUGCAGGAAGACUGCCCUAUGGGUUGUAAACUGCUUUUAUCAGGGAAUAAAGUGCGGCACGUGUGCUGUUUUGUAUGUACCUGAUGAAUAAGGACCGGCUAAUUCCGUGCCAGCAGCCGCGGUAAUACGGAAGGUCCGGGCGUUAUCCGGAUUUAUUGGGUUUAAAGGGAGCGCAGGCUGAUGAUUAAGCGUGACGUGAAAUGUAGCCGCUCAACGGCUGAACUGCGUCGCGAACUGGUUAUCUUGAGUGAGUUCGAUGUUGGCGGAAUUCGUGGUGUAGCGGUGAAAUGCUUAGAUAUCACGAAGAACUCCGAUUGCGAAGGCAGCUGUCCAGUCCGUAACUGACGCUAAUGCUCGAAGGUGCGGGUAUCGAACA
RNAcentral lists this ribosomal RNA (419 nucleotides) under uncultured Prevotella sp. RNAcentral's name for it is "bacterial SSU rRNA". It matches the Rfam family "Bacterial small subunit ribosomal RNA", at positions 358 to 774 of the family's 1533-position model. Lineage: Bacteria; Pseudomonadati; Bacteroidota; Bacteroidia; Bacteroidales; Prevotellaceae. The record is from RNAcentral.